Zalophus californianus (California sea lion) is the source of this 105-nucleotide small nuclear RNA. The record is from Ensembl. Lineage: Eukaryota; Metazoa; Chordata; Mammalia; Carnivora; Otariidae.
GUGCUCGCUUUGGCAGAACCCGUACUAAAAUUGGAAUGAUACAGAGAUUAGCGUGGCCCUGCAUGUGAGGAUGACAGACACAUUCAUGAAGCAUUCCAUAUUUUU